UAGAUGCGAGAGUAGAGCAUAUCAAUAAGCGGAGGAAAAGAAACUAACAAGGAUUCCCUUAGUAACGGCGAGUGAAGCGGGAAGAGCUCAAAUUUGAAAUCUUCAAGGUUCUACCUUGACGAAUUGUAGUUUAUAGAAGUGUUUUCUGUUAGUAGAGUGGCAAAAGUUCUUUGGAAUAGGACAUCAUAGAGGGUGAGAAUCCCGUAUUUGGUCAUCUCUUCCUAGCUUUGUGAUACACUUUCAACGAGUCGGAUUGUUUGGGAAUGCAGUCCAAAAUGGGUGGUAAAUUUCAUCUAAAGCUAAAUAUUGGCGAGAGACCGAUAGCGAACAAGUACCGUGAGGGAAAGAUGAAAAGAACUUUGAAAAGAGAGUUAAACAGUACGUGAAAUUGUCAAAAGGGAAGCGUUUGACACCAGUGUUGUUUUUCCGAAAAUCAAUUACGAAUGUUUUAUUUUUGAGAAGUUAUGACUUCAUCGGCUUGCUCCUUUCUUUACGAAACUUUCUUAAUGCACUUUUCGGUUAACAAGUCAACAUCAAUUUCUUUUGUUGUAAAAGGGUAUGAGGAAGGUGGCUUUCUUUUCGGAGAAAGUGUUUAUAGCCUUGUGCCUCUGCAAUCGGAGAGAUUGAGGUCUGCAGCGUAGAUCCUUCGGGGUUAGAUACGUUUGUGCUAAGUUAUAGCUUUUCAUAGACAACUUGUUGACUAUGUUUAGUCUUGUAGCUUACUCGCUGACGCUAUUUUACCUACGCUUAGGAUGUUGACGCGCGUGUGUGCGUGAGACUAUACAUGACUCUGCGCAUAUCAAUAAGCGGAGGAAAAGGCGGCGGAGAGUAUUGGUGUGGGCGUACCUACGCUUAGGAUGUUGAAGAUGUAGCACAUCAU
Molecule: ribosomal RNA, 880 nt
Filed under: uncultured Neocallimastigales
Lineage: Eukaryota; Fungi; Neocallimastigomycota; Neocallimastigomycetes; Neocallimastigales
Description: partial large subunit ribosomal RNA
Rfam family: Eukaryotic large subunit ribosomal RNA
Source: RNAcentral